RNAcentral lists this ribosomal RNA (470 nucleotides) under uncultured Methanosaeta sp. RNAcentral's name for it is "bacterial SSU rRNA". It matches the Rfam family "Archaeal small subunit ribosomal RNA", at positions 871 to 1337 of the family's 1478-position model. The record is from RNAcentral. Lineage: Archaea; Methanobacteriati; Methanobacteriota; Methanomicrobia; Methanotrichales; Methanotrichaceae.
ACGGGGAGCACCACAACGGGUGGAGCUUGCGGUUUUAAUUGGAUUCAACGCCGGAAAUCUUACCGGGACCGACAGCAAUAUGAAGGCCAGGCUGAAGACUUUGCCGGAUUAGCUGAGAGGUGGUGCAUGGCCGUCGUCAGUUCGUACUGUGAAGCAUCCUGUUAAGUCAGGCAACGAGCGAGACCCACGCCCACAGUUGCCAGCGUACUCUCUGGAGUGACGGGUACACUGUGGGACCGCCGCUGCUAAAGCGGAGGAAGGAAUGGGCAACGGUAGGUCAGUAUGCCCCGAAUAUCCCGGGCUACACGCGAGCUACAAUGGUUGGUACAAUGGGUAUCUACCCCGAAAGGGGACGGGAAUCUCCUAAAACCAAUCUUAGUUCGGAUUGAGGGCUGCAACUCGCCCUCAUGAAGCUGGAAUCCGUAGUAAUCGCGUUUCAACAGAACGCGGUGAAUACGUCCCUGCUCCUU